Molecule: long non-coding RNA, 4207 nt
Organism: Oxyura jamaicensis (ruddy duck)
Lineage: Eukaryota; Metazoa; Chordata; Aves; Anseriformes; Anatidae
Exons: 4
Source: RefSeq, a predicted model, not a curated record
CUCAUAGAACACCUUCUUCAAUCAUUUCCCUUAUUUAUGUGCAUUUACUGAGAACUACAUAUUUAUAAAAAUGCUGCAUGUGAGGAUGACACAUUGCUUCUGGACCCAUAAAACUGGAGGCAUGGAAUAACAGAUUAAUUAGCUGUUAAAUAAAAGAGAAGGGGGAACAGGGAGAGAAAUUGCCUUAUCUUUUACUUAACAUAAGGCAAGCACAGGGUUAAAACCACUCCAAGCCAGAGCUCUGAUCAGGCAGCUCCUGGAGGUGUGCCCACUGAGGAGGUGUUAAUUUGGGAGGAUUGGAGCAUAAAUAGGCAAGCCCAAGCCUAGGAAGCUUUUUUUUCUCCUUUUGUUGUGCCUUUAUUCUUGGUGAGCUCAGGAUAGAAAACUGCGAAUUAAGUCUUGGAGGAUAAACUUGAAGAAAGUGAGCUGUGAUUACAAAUUUGAUGCCCACUGAUGUCUCACCUGCGUGGCAGGUGGCAGUGAUUUCCAUUUUAUGGAAGCUCUUUCACUCGGCGAGGUCUUCUGGAAGGUAGUGUCAUGCUGUCCUGCCUGGUUCUUCAAAAAGUUUUUCCUGCCCUCUGUAUCGGAUAGCUCAACCUAGUGAGCAGGUUAUUAUCUGUAAGCCUCUCUUGCCGUAAACUGAACUAAUUCAAAUCAAAAUAUAAGUUUUAAAGCUAGCAAUGGAUUUCCUCUGUUAUUCGAGAUGACAGCUCAAAGCUGACUUUGUGGGCAAGUCUGGGAACACAAAAGCAAGGGUUUGUACAAAGAGGUAAUAGCUUUUAGUAGACAAAUCUGUUAAGCUUUCAGCUGUGAGAAUGGCUGAAAGAAAAUUGCCCUGAGCUUUAAUAGAGAGAUCCAGAGAUAGGGAUGUGAGGCUGGGGAUCAUGUGCUGCUAGUCUCCAAAACUAUGGGAGCUAUUUACGUUCAUAAAAGCAAUAAAAAAAAAAAAAAAAAAAAAAAAAAAAAAAAAAAAAAAAGACGCCAGGCUCCUUCCUCUUUCAGCAGCUAUAUGCGUGCCUUUUGAAGUAUGCUGUGAAUUUCCUGGAUGUGAGAAAGAUAUUUACAAAAUUAUCAACCGCUUGCUCAGGAACAGCAAACAUAAGCCCCUGGGGACAGCUUAAUAAAUGGCAGAAACCUCAUUCUUGGUGUUGCUGUGAGCAGGAGAGCCGUCAAACCUCCCAGUUUUGGGGGCUGCAACAGAAGCCUCCUGGCAGGAAAUCCUGUUGCGCAAAUCUGUUUCCUUCUUGCUUCCUCUGCUGUAAAGUUUUUAUUUUUUCCAGAAACAAUCCAUCUCCUGAAUGUUGUGGAGGGCCGAGGAAACUGAUUUUGUUGUUUCUUGAUUUAUUCUUUGCUUGACAUUUCUCUUAGGUCCUUCUGAUAAAUGCUAGAGCCAGGCUUGCUCUCUCCAAGACGCUCUUGUGCUCUUUUCACUUGGGGAAAUCUGUAAGUGCUGAGCUAUGAGCUGUUUUUUCUGAGACUCAGUGAGCCUCCUGCAAGCAGAGCACAGACAUGAAAGAGGCCCUGACAAAAGAGGAACGCAGUGAACAGUGACAGUGGCCUUUUCUAGCUGGGUUUCUCGGGAUAAAACUUGAAUUUCAGCUGACAUUCUAAAUGUGGACUCCCAAAAUAUUUUAAACAGUCAUAUCUGCUUAAGAGCAAUAACUUUCUGCUUGGCUGCCCUGCUGUGUGUCAUCCAGGAUAUGGCAUUCACCGAAAAAUGUCACUGGUCAAAGAAAUAAGGAAUAGACUGUGCUCUGGGGAUUCCAGCUUUCUACAAUAACCUUUAGUUAAAAAAGCAUCCUUUCGGACAGCAGCAUUAGCAAGCAGUUGGGAAUUUUCUGUGCCUUGGAGGACAGCAAUCAGGUUACACGUGAGCAUGCCUUUAGCAGCCUUACAGAACGUCUUCGUGGCACAUUUUCUGUAAGAGCAGUUGUGGCGUAGGACAGAAAUCUCUGAAGAAAAUCAUUGCCCAGGUAACUGUGCACUGUAUUUUCUGCUUUGCUUCUGAGAUGCUAUGUAAUGUGCACGGUGACAACGUGUUUGCUUUGUUUGUUACAGGAAAUCUUGGUAAGUGCCUCAACUGAUAGCUGAAAGCCACAAAUCAGGAAGCCAUAAGUGACAGAAAGCAUUAGUGGCAGUUGUGCACUGAGAGAGAUGAGUCAGGAAGCCGAAUACAGAAAUAUAAAGUAAGUGAUACAGAAGUAAGGCUAGACUAAACUUGUGGGAUGCUGAAGUAUCCCUAAAGAUGGCAGAGACGGUGCAACUUCCUCGCAGCUAUACAGACUUCUGGGGAUGCCCACAUGUCAUGCAGAUUUACUGGGACUACCUGCAGAGAAAAUGGAUAACAUGAUCUGGAAGAGCAUUUUGUUUUCCUUUCUCACAGCCUCACAACAGAGUUGUGAGAUCUAUCAGUUAAGCAACAUGCAAUAAUGGUCUUGUUUAUAUUAAAGCAAUUUAUAACUCUCUACUGAAGGAAUGCAGUUUUGACACAUUUUCUGCCAAGCACUCAAAAGAAUAUGCAACAGUUAAAAACACUGCAGAGUGAUGUCUGCCAACAUCAUAUGUUAUGCGAGGAAAGCUUAAUAAACAGAGCUGAACGGAAUAAAAUAAUUCUUACUCUAUUUGAAUUAAAAGCAGUAUUGAGGAAUAGUAGUCAGCCUUUGAAAAGACUUUAUGAAUCAUGUAUCUGGAUGUAAUUAAUUGUCAUAGUAGCUUGCAUUAUUUUUGCACAAACAAUGAAACUUUCCAUAAUAUCCCAAUUUUUCCCCACGCUCAGAUUGAAAGGUCACUGCAAAAAACUGCCUGAACCUUAUGUCCCAUUUACUUACUCAUUUGUGCUGGCGAAAUGUGUGUUCAUGAGCAGGAACAUACUUUUGAAGAACUGCACUUUAGUUUUACUGCUGCAGUGGCAAUAACUGUGGGACUACCCAGAAAGACAAAUAUUUAGUGUAUUCAUUUGUUUUGUCAACAUCUACAAUUUUUCCAGCAAUUUCAUUUCACAGCAGUGCAGCCCUCUGAAUUAUGGAAAAGUAAUAAUAAUAAUAAAGAACUAGCCAUGCCUGUCAAGAGUGCAGAAUUUCCUCCUGACUUGUAAAUUAAAGUGUUUGUUGACCCUCAAUUCAAAACUCACAAUUUCUACCUUUCCUGUCUCCAUCCAUAAGCUUUAAAGUAGCAAAUCUUCCCCUGCAUGGGCAUAUGUUGUACAGAUACUGAGUUUUAUGAAGUAACUCGUUAUUCUAGUUACUGAGAAAUGUAGUAAGUUUGGGUGUUAACUACUAAACUAUUCAUCAGAUUUAAAUCACAGCCUCUUACAUGCAUUGAAUCUGUUAAGCAAAAAAUAAAAAUUAAAAAAAAAAAAAAAUCCAGUCUCACUGUCACACUAUUUGCUCAGCCAAGUGUCCUAUUUUGUGAAAUGUUGAUAGAAGGCUGGAGAGAGAAGGGAUUGCAAAAAGAUUAUGAAGCUGCAGAACAAAUUCUUAGCGACAUAUUUACAAAGUAAUGCAAACCACAACAUGCAGCUAAGAAAGCAAGAAAUACUUCUCCUGGCUGUGAAGUCAUCACAAGUUUUAUAACUAGUGAACAAAACAAAAAGCAGAAGGCUUAAUUGUUGAAGAGAGAAGGAUAAAUCUGCUAUUGAGAUGAAGUGCUUUUAAGUCAAAAUACUUUGUCCUACUAUUUUAUGUUUUCCCAUCAAAUAGCUCACAGAAUCCAAAGGUAUUUGAGAACCUUUUUAACCGUUCCGCUAAUGUGCAAACUAUGCAUCUCCGCAAGUUCUGUCUAAUCACAAGUGAAACCAGUGAUAAUUUGUUUGCAGUUUCAGCCCUUCAGCUACUCUGUGUAUUUCUUUAUCAGAAGCUGAACUCCACGUAUCACGGGAUGCUGUACACAGAAGAACAGAGAGCAAACGAGUCUGUCUCCCCACCGUCUUAUUCAUCUCCCUCAAGCAAGAUGUACUGCAUUAUACCAUAAGUUCACACUUUGUGGGAGGAACACUAGAACCGUUGUAUCAAAAGUUAAGUGGAGGACUUUUCCUGCUCACUCAUUCGACCUUAUUCUCAAGUGGUGAACUUCAGCCUUUCUCUGACAUCCCAGGUUCUGUUCUGAAUCAUUGUACCUACUUGAAACAAAUAAACAAAAACCAGUAAGUCGUGGUUUUUCUAAACUAUCCAGAUUACAGAAUUUUUUUAAGAGUGGCAUUUAGUUUUCC